UACGGAGGAUGCAAGCGUUAUCCGGAAUGAUUGGGCGUAAAGCGUCCGCAGGUGGCAAUGUAAGUCUGCUGUUAAAGAGUCUAGCUCAACUAGAUAAAAGCAGUGGAAACUACAUAGCUAGAGUACGUUCGGGGCAGAGGGAAUUCCUGGUGUAGCGGUUGAAAUGCGUAGAGAUCAGGAAGAACACCAGUGGCGAAGGC
RNAcentral lists this ribosomal RNA (200 nucleotides) under uncultured bacterium. RNAcentral describes it as "partial 16S ribosomal RNA". It matches the Rfam family "Bacterial small subunit ribosomal RNA", at positions 524 to 722 of the family's 1533-position model. The record is from RNAcentral.